CUGGCUGCUCCCCAUCGGGGUCCUCCAAAGAUGGUGUUGACGAUCUCGGUUGGAGGUCGAUCUUCAGUCUGUUCCUCCCUCCUUGGCGGCUCUGGCCGUGGUAGGACCCUCGGCCAAUCCUCCCUACCCUCAGGUCGGCAUCGGAUGAAUCUAUCGAGCCGACCUCGUCUGAUGAGCUCCUCAUCUGUUGGUUCGCUUCUUGGGAUCGUUGAUCCAGGAGGCCCUCUCGACGGUGAGUCUCGAGGGUCUUCUGGAAGAACGGAGGUAGAGACCC
RNAcentral lists this long non-coding RNA (274 nucleotides) under Elaeis guineensis (African oil palm). Its description in RNAcentral is "long non-coding RNA (EGUI_LNC045210)". Lineage: Eukaryota; Viridiplantae; Streptophyta; Magnoliopsida; Arecales; Arecaceae. The record is from RNAcentral.